This 497-nucleotide ribosomal RNA is filed under the name uncultured bacterium. RNAcentral describes it as "partial 16S ribosomal RNA". It matches the Rfam family "Bacterial small subunit ribosomal RNA", at positions 28 to 507 of the family's 1533-position model. The record is from RNAcentral.
GAUGAACGCUGGCGGCGUGCCUAAUACAUGCAAGUCGAGCGAACAGACGAGGAGCUUGCUCCUUCGACGUUAGCGGCGGACGGGUGAGUAACACGUAGGUAACCUACCUAUAAGACUGGGAUAACUUCGGGAAACCGGAGCUAAUACCGGAUAAUAUUUCGAACCGCAUGGUUCGAUAGUGAAAGAUGGCUUUGCUAUCACUUAUAGAUGGACCUGCGCCGUAUUAGCUAGUUGGUAAGGUAACGGCUUACCAAGUCAACGAUACGUAGCCGACCUGAGAGGGUGAUCGGCCACACUGGAACUGAGACACGGUCCAGACUCCUACGGGAGGCAGCAGUAGGGAAUCUUCCGCAAUGGGCGAAAGCCUGACGGAGCAACGCCGCGUGAGUGAUGAAGGUCUUCGGAUCGUAAAACUCUGUUAUUAGGGAAGAACAAACGUGUAAGUAACUGUGCACGUCUUGACGGUACCUAAUCAGAAAGCCACGGCUAACUACGUG